CCUACGGGUGGCAGCAGUGGGGAAUAUUGCACAAUGGGGGAAACCCUGAUGCAGCGACACCGCGUGAAGGAAGAAGUAUCUCGGUAUGUAAACUUCUAUCAGCAGGGAAGAAAAUGACGGUACCUGACUAAGAAGCCCCGGCUAACUACGUGCCAGCAGCCGCGGUAAUACGUAGGGGGCAAGCGUUAUCCGGAUUUACUGGGUGUAAAGGGAGCGUAGACGGAAGAGCAAGUCUGAUGGGAAAGGCUGGGGGUUAACCCCAGGACUGCAUUGGAAACUGGUUUUCUAGAGUGGCGGAGAGGUAAGCGGAAUGCCUAGUGUAGCGGUGAAAUGCGUAGAUAUUAGGAGGAACACCAGUGGCGAAGGCGGCUUACUGGACGGUAACUGACGUUGAGGCUCGAAAGCGUGGGGAGCAAACAGGAUUAGAUACCCGAGUAGUC
This 440-nucleotide ribosomal RNA is filed under the name uncultured bacterium. RNAcentral describes it as "partial 16S ribosomal RNA". It matches the Rfam family "Bacterial small subunit ribosomal RNA", at positions 338 to 795 of the family's 1533-position model. The record is from RNAcentral.